This 857-nucleotide ribosomal RNA is filed under the name marine metagenome. RNAcentral's name for it is "bacterial SSU rRNA". It matches the Rfam family "Bacterial small subunit ribosomal RNA", at positions 8 to 910 of the family's 1533-position model. The record is from RNAcentral.
AGAGUUUGAUCCUGGCUCAGGAUGAACGCUGGCGGUAUGCUUAACACAUGCAAGUCGAACGAAAGCUUUAUGCUUUAGUGGCGAACGGGUGCGUAAUACGUGAGAAUCUACCCUUAGGAGGAGAAUAACUUCUGGAAACGGUUGCUAAGUCUCCAUAUGCUGAGAGGUAAAAUAGUUUACACUGCCUAGGGAUGAGCUCACGCCUGAUUAGCUUGUUGGUAAGGUAAUGGCUUACCAAGGCCACGAUCAGUAGCUGGUUUGAGAGAACGAUCAGCCACACUGGGACUGAGACACGGCCCAGACUCCUCCGGGAGGCAGCAGUGAGGAAUUUUCCGCAAUGGGCGAAAGCCUGACGGAGCAAUACCGCGUGAGGGAUGAAGGAUUUUGGUCUGUAAACCUCUUUUCUCAAGAAAGAAGUUCUGACGGUACUUGAGGAAUAAGCAUCGGCUAACUCCGUGCCAGCAGCCGCGGUAAUACGGGGGAUGCAAGCGUUAUCCGGAUUUAUUGGGCGUAAAGCGCCUGUAGGUUGUUUAAUAAGUCUGUUGUUAAAGACUAGGGCUUAACCCUAGGAAAGCAAUGGAAACUACUAGACUUGAGUAUGAUAGGGGUAGAGGGAAUUUCUAGUGUAGCGGUGAAAUGCGUAGAUAUUAGAAAGAACACCGGCGGCGAAGGCGCUCUACUGGAUCAUUACUGACACUCAGAGGCGAAAGCUAGGGUAGCAAAAGGGAUUAGAUACCCCUGUAGUCCUAGCCGUAAACGAUGGAUACUACAUGUUGCGUUUUUAAUGCAGUGUGGUAGCUAACGCGUUAAGUAUCCCGCCUGGGGAGUACGGUCGCAAGGCUGAAACUCAAAGGAAU